Molecule: ribosomal RNA, 442 nt
Filed under: uncultured bacterium
Lineage: Bacteria
Description: partial 16S ribosomal RNA
Rfam family: Bacterial small subunit ribosomal RNA
Source: RNAcentral
CCUACGGGAGGCAGCAGUGGGGAAUAUUGGGCAAUGGGCGCAAGCCUGACCCAGCAACGCCGCGUGAAGGAAGAAGGCUUUCGGGUUGUAAACUUCUUUUAAGAGGGAAGAGCAGAAGACGGUACCUCUUGAAUAAGCCACGGCUAACUACGUGCCAGCAGCCGCGGUAAUACGUAGGUGGCAAGCGUUGUCCGGAUUUACUGGGGGUAAAGGGCGUGCAGCCGGGAAGACAAGUCAGAUGUGAAAUCCCGCGGCUAAACCGCGGAAAUGCAUGUGAAACUGUUUUUCUUGAGUACCGGAGAGGUCAUCGGAAUUCCUUGUGUAGCGGUGAAAUGCGUAGAUAUAAGGAAGAACACCAGUGGCGAAGGCGGAUGACUGGACGGCAACUGACGGUGAGGCGCGAAAGCGUGGGGAGCAAACAGGAUUAGAUACCCCGGUAGUC